Molecule: ribosomal RNA, 189 nt
Filed under: uncultured bacterium
Lineage: Bacteria
Description: partial 16S ribosomal RNA
Rfam family: Bacterial small subunit ribosomal RNA
Source: RNAcentral
UGAUACGUAGGCACCAAGCGUUGUCCGGAUUUAUUGGGCGUAAAGAGCUCGUAGGCGGUUCGGUAAGUCGGGUGUGAAAACUCUGGGCUCAACCCAGAGAGGCCACCCGAUACUGCCGUGACUGGAGUGCGGUAGGGGAGUGGGGAAUUCCUGGUGUAGCGGUGAAAUGCGCAGAUAUCAGGAGGAACA